UACGUAUGGUGCAAGCGUUAUCCGGAUUUACUGGGUGUAAAGGGAGCGCAGGCGGCACGGCAAGCCUGAUGUGAAAGCCCGCGGCCCAACCGCGGGACUGCAUUGGGAACUACCGGGCUGGAGUGCCGGAGAGGUAGGCGGAAUUCCUAGUGUAGCGGUGAGAUGCGUAGAUAUUAGGAGGAACACCAGUGGCGAAGGCGGCCUACUGGACGGUGACUGACGCUGGGGCUCGAAAGCGUGGGGAGCAAACAGG
Molecule: ribosomal RNA, 253 nt
Filed under: uncultured bacterium
Lineage: Bacteria
Description: partial 16S ribosomal RNA
Rfam family: Bacterial small subunit ribosomal RNA
Source: RNAcentral